GGAAAAAAAAAAUGAUUGGCAACAGAUGUUAGCUCAGGGCCAAUCUUUAAAAAAAAAAAUGCAGGCUAUAUUUGAUAUAGUAUUAUUGCAUAAAUGGUAAAUUUCUCGUGUCUGAUAACAUGGUCCCCAUUUUUGUUGAGCCAGGAUAAUUCUCAAAGCUCUUGGUGUUAGGAUCUCUUUGCACUCUUAGAAGUUGUUGAAGAUUCCAAAGAGCUUUUGUUUAUAUGGGUUAUAUAAAACCAUAUUUACAGAAGUAAAAGUUAAAGCAGAAAUUAAAAAAAAUAUUUAUUCAGUCAUUUAAAAAUAACUACAUUUUCCAAAACAAAAAACUUACCGAGAAGCGUUGCUUUGUUUAUGUUUUUGCAUAUCUCUUUGUGUCUGACUUACUGGCAGUAGCUGGAUUCUCGCGCUCGCUUCUGCAUUCAGUUUGCUGCUGAAGUUUGUUUUGGUUGAAGUAUAUGAAGAAAAUCCAGCCUCACAGAGACAUGUACCUAGAAAUGGUCAGCUGGCCAGUUGUACGAGGUCCACACUGCUCCUCCCACAAACAGCCACAUGGCGUCAUGUAGUUCUUCUCAUCCACGGUGAAGCAGUGAUAAAUUCCUGCAAGAAGAGUUAUCAUGUCUCCUUUCUCCAUGAAAAUCUGGAUCCACUAGUCCUCUUACAUCAAAGUGUCCGCUGCCCUCCAGGAUGCAGCAAAUCUUACAUCCGAGUGCAGAUGCUCCUUCCUCAUAAAACACCUCCAUCUUUUUUUCACAAUUUGGCAGUUUAUCUUUGCAUAUGGCUCUUAUGUCCAUCUAGGAGUAGUUCCUCUUUUCAGAUCUGUUCUAAUUCUGGAUCAUUCUCAUAUUUGUCAGCUUCCAGUAAAGGACUCUGAGCUGGCACAGCUGCUCCAGGCACAGCGGGCAGCAGUGGCUCCAGGCUGUGGGGCCACGUCAAGUCGUCCUGGGACUGGUUCAUGUACCAGCGCUGCACCAUGGUCCAGGCCUGAGGGGAUGUAUGUGGGCGUGGUGGGCACCCUAAGCACCAGGGGUACCCUGACUUGCAUGGGCUGCUCACAGGACAAGGUGAGGCCCCAUCCAGGGCAUUCUUUUACUAUAACAAAAUGUACAAGUGAUAGUUUCUCAAAGGUUAAUUGCAACGUGGAAUCUGAAACAUCUAUGCACCUUUCCUACUCUUGUCACAUUCAAAUACAUUCUUUUUUUUUCUUUUGAGGAAGAUUAGCCCUGAGCUAACUGCUGCCAAUCCUCCUCUUUUUGCUGAGGAAGGCUGGCUCUGAGCUAACAUCCAUGCCCAUCUUCCUCUACUUUAUA
Molecule: long non-coding RNA, 1310 nt
Filed under: Equus asinus (donkey)
Lineage: Eukaryota; Metazoa; Chordata; Mammalia; Perissodactyla; Equidae
Description: lncRNA (ENSEASG00005037851.1)
Source: RNAcentral